This 253-nucleotide ribosomal RNA is filed under the name uncultured bacterium. Its description in RNAcentral is "partial 16S ribosomal RNA". It matches the Rfam family "Bacterial small subunit ribosomal RNA", at positions 524 to 776 of the family's 1533-position model. The record is from RNAcentral.
UACAGAGGUCUCAAGCGUUGUUCGGAUUCAUUGGGCGUAAAGGGUGCGUAGGCGGCCUGUUAAGUCGGAUGUGAAAGCCCCGGGCUCAACCCGGGAAGUGCAUUCGAAACUGGCGGGCUUGAAUAUGGAAGAGGGUCGCGGAAUUCCCGGUGUAGAGGUGAAAUUCGUAGAUAUCGGGAGGAACACCAGUGGCGAAGGCGGCGACCUGGGCCAAUAUUGACGCUGAGGUGCGAAAGCGUGGGGAGCAAACAGG